Molecule: transfer RNA, 72 nt
Filed under: Coleofasciculaceae cyanobacterium SM2_3_26
Lineage: Bacteria; Bacillati; Cyanobacteriota; Cyanophyceae; Coleofasciculales; Coleofasciculaceae
Description: tRNA-Val
Rfam family: tRNA
About the family: Transfer RNA (tRNA) molecules are approximately 80 nucleotides in length. Their secondary structure includes four short double-helical elements and three loops (D, anti-codon, and T loops). Further hydrogen bonds mediate the characteristic L-shaped molecular structure. tRNAs have two regions of fundamental functional importance: the anti-codon, which is responsible for specific mRNA codon recognition, and the 3' end, to which the tRNAs corresponding amino acid is attached (by aminoacyl-tRNA synthetases). tRNAs cope with the degeneracy of the genetic code in two manners: having more than one tRNA (with a specific anti-codon) for a particular amino acid; and 'wobble' base-pairing, i.e. permitting non-standard base-pairing at the 3rd anti-codon position.
Source: RNAcentral
AGUCCUGUAGCUCAAAGGUAGAGCGAUCGCCUUACAAGCGAGGGGUUGUGGGUUCGAUUCCUACCAGGACUA